This 758-nucleotide ribosomal RNA is filed under the name Amanita flavipes. RNAcentral describes it as "eukaryotic LSU rRNA". It matches the Rfam family "Eukaryotic large subunit ribosomal RNA", at positions 86 to 831 of the family's 3401-position model. The record is from RNAcentral. Lineage: Eukaryota; Fungi; Basidiomycota; Agaricomycetes; Agaricales; Amanitaceae.
ACUGCGAGUGGAGAGGGAAAAGCUCAAAUUUAAAAUCUGGCAGUGUUUCACUGUCCGAGUUGUAACCUAGAGAAGUGUAACCUGCGCUGGACCGUGUAUAAGUCUCCUGGAAUGGAGCAUCAUAGAGGGUGAGAAUCCCGUCUUUGACAUGGACUACCAGUGCAUUGUGGUUGCGCUCUCAACGAGUCGAGUUGUUUGGGAAUGCAGCUCUAAAUGGGUGGUAAAUUCCAUCUAAAGCUAAAUAUUGGCGAGAGACCGAUAGCGAACAAGUACCGUGAGGGAAAGAUGAAAAGAACUUUGGAAAGAGAGUUAAACAGUAUGUGAAAUUGUUGAAAGGGAAACGUUUGAAGUCAGUCGCGUUGGUUGGGGAUCAGCCUGACAUUGUUGGGUGUACUUCCUGGUUGACGGGCCAACAUCAGUUUUGACUGCCAGAAAAAGGCCAAAGGAAUGUGGCACCUUUGGGUGUGUUAUAGCCCUUGGUCGUAUAUGGUGGUUGGGACUGAGGAAAGCAGCGUGCCGAAAGGCCGGGUUUCGACCACGUUCACGCUGAGGAUGUUGGCAUAAUGGCUUUAAGCGACCCGUCUUGAAACACGGACCAAGGAGUCUAACAUGCGUGCGAGUGUUUGGGUGGAAAACCCUUACGCGUAAUGAAAGUGAAAGUUGAGAUCCCUGUCGCGGGGAGCAUCGACGCCCGGACCAGAACUUUUGGGACGGAUCUGCGGUAGAGCAUGUAUGUUGGGACCCGAAAGAUGGUGAAC